GACGAACGCUGGCGGCGUGCCUAAUACAUGCAAGUUGAGCGCUGAAGGUUGGUACUUGUACCAACUGGAUGAGCAGCGAACGGGUGAUUAACGCGUGGGGAAUCUGCCUUUGAGCGGGGGACAACAUUUGGAAACGAAUGCUAAUACCGCAUAAAAACUUUAAACACAAGUUUUAAGUUUGAAAGAUGCAAUUGCAUCACUCAAAGAUGAUCCCGCGUUGUAUUAGCUAGUUGGUGAGGUAAAGGCUCACCAAGGCGAUGAUACAUAGCCGACCUGAGAGGGUGAUCGGCCACAUUGGGACUGAGACACGGCCCAAACUCCUACGGGAGGCAGCAGUAGGGAAUCUUCGGCAAUGGACGAAAGUCUGACCGAGCAACGCCGCGUGAGUGAAGAAGGUUUUCGGAUCGUAAAACUCUGUUGGUAGAGAAGAACGUUGGUGAGAGUGGAAAGCUCAUCAAGUGACGGUAACUACCCAGAAAGGGACGGCUAACUACGUG
RNAcentral lists this ribosomal RNA (497 nucleotides) under uncultured bacterium. Its description in RNAcentral is "partial 16S ribosomal RNA". It matches the Rfam family "Bacterial small subunit ribosomal RNA", at positions 28 to 507 of the family's 1533-position model. The record is from RNAcentral.